This 72-nucleotide transfer RNA is filed under the name Camelus ferus (Wild Bactrian camel). It matches the Rfam family "tRNA". From Rfam's summary of the family: Transfer RNA (tRNA) molecules are approximately 80 nucleotides in length. Their secondary structure includes four short double-helical elements and three loops (D, anti-codon, and T loops). Lineage: Eukaryota; Metazoa; Chordata; Mammalia; Artiodactyla; Camelidae. The record is from Rfam by way of RNAcentral.
GAGGGUACAGCUCAGUGGUAGAGUGUGUGCUUAGCAUGCACGAGGUCCUGGGUUCAAGCCCCAGUCCCUUCA